Molecule: ribosomal RNA, 616 nt
Filed under: uncultured bacterium
Lineage: Bacteria
Description: bacterial SSU rRNA
Rfam family: Bacterial small subunit ribosomal RNA
Source: RNAcentral
CCUACGGGAGGCAGCAGUGGGGAAUUUUGGACAAUGGGCGCAAGCCUGAUCCAGCCAUGCCGCGUGUGGGAAGAAGGCCUUCGGGUUGUAAACCACUUUUGUCAGGGAAGAAACGGCUCUUACUAAUAUUAGGGGCUAAUGACGGUACCUGAAGAAUAAGCACCGGCUAACUACGUGCCAGCAGCCGCGGUAAUACGUAGGGUGCAAGCGUUAAUCGGAAUUACUGGGCGUAAAGCGUGCGCAGGCGGCUUUGCAAGACAGAUGUGAAAUCCCCGGGCUCAACCUGGGAACUGCAUUUGUGACUGCAUGGCUAGAGUACGGUAGAGGGGGAUGGAAUUCCGCGUGUAGCAGUGAAAUGCGUAGAUAUGCGGAGGAACACCGAUGGCGAAGGCAAUCCCCUGGACCUGUACUGACGCUCAUGCACGAAAGCGUGGGGAGCAAACAGGAUUAGAUACCCUGGUAGUCCACGCCCUAAACGAUGUCAACUGGUUGUUGGACGGCUUGCUGUUCAGUAACGAAGCUAACGCGUGAAGUUGACCGCCUGGGGAUACGGCCGCAAGGUUGAAACUUAAAUGAAUUGACGGCUGAGAGNGCGACGACGACGACGAGGGAGAGG